UAUACAAAAGACGUAUAUAUAUCAAUCAACUGAAGACAAGAAGAAAUUAAGAAAGAGUCUACAUUAACAUCCAUUCAUCUACAUUUUUUACAUUGGCUAGCCUGCCAGUCUUCUAUUCAAAGUUUUGUUCCCACUUCAAGGGGGGAGAGAGAAGAAUCGAGUUACAAAGCUAUUUUGGAACUGGGAAAACAAACUUGAAGAGAAAAAAAGAAUCUAGAUUAGCAUAGAAGAACGGUGGUUUGUAAGAAAAAGAAAGUUUUCAAAUCAAAGACUGUACAAGACUAUUUUCUACAACUGAGACAAAAAGCACAAGAUACAACGUGAAAUCUAGAAGCAAGCACGUGGCAGACAUUGGC
This is a non-coding RNA of Pelobates cultripes (western spadefoot toad), 356 nucleotides long. NCBI's taxonomy places the organism in Eukaryota, Metazoa, Chordata, Amphibia, Anura, Pelobatidae. The record is from the annotation of a GenBank genome assembly.